Ooceraea biroi (clonal raider ant) is the source of this 1958-nucleotide long non-coding RNA. RefSeq lists it as uncharacterized. The record is from RefSeq and is a predicted model, not a curated record. Lineage: Eukaryota; Metazoa; Arthropoda; Insecta; Hymenoptera; Formicidae.
AAUACCCGGUCGGCAUUAAAAUAAUUGCUUCGCUCAUUACCGGUAAUCGUGCCCGGCAAAGAAACUCUUUGAAGUCACGAAGACGUGAUCCCCACGAUCCUGCGCGCGGAUCUUCGUGACUUGGAGAAUCCGCGGAGGAAUCUUCCCAAGGAUGCCGGCUGUCCGGAUUGGAUCCUGCGGAAGGAAGCGUAUCAUCUCGCGAGUUCUUUCUGAGAUGCGCAAGCGUGGGACGUCCCGUAAACGCGUGCACGAGGGGGUAGGAUACGCGCAUAUCACAUCGUGCGGAGGCUGCCGGGCGAUCCUGUUUAAUUACGGGGGUUGCGGCCGAAGCAGCAGAUUCCGCGCGCCCGAGGAGGCGCCUCGUUCGUCUUCUGGGAAGAGGAGAAUGCGAGGAGGUGGUCAGCCUCGUCCUCGUCGCCACGUCGUCCACAAGCGAACAGCCUGCCGAGCAGGAGGAGAGAGACUUCGAUAUUUAUAGUGCCGUGCGCCGGGAGACCCGCAAAAACACCCGGCGAUUCGCAAUCCUGAAAUAACAGGUUACCUCGGAGCGCAGCGGAGUGAACGGGAGGAGCAGCGCGCAGGGCAGGGUCCUGCAAGAACCCUGAAGAGGACGAGAGGAGUAUGAGAGAAGAAGAAGAAGACGAGCAGGGAUGAGAGGACGAGACACGGGGGGAGGGUGGACGUAGUGAGAGAGGAAAACUGAAGAAGCAAGAGAAGAAGAGGAGAAGGAGGAGAAGAAGGACGUGAGUGGUUCGGCCUGUAGAGGGAGCAGGUUUCUAUUUAUACCGCGUCACCGCGAAUCAAAGACCCUGCGGAGUACGUAGGGAAGUCAAGAAGGGUACUCGUUCUCCUCUUCCUUUUUGCUACUCAUGUCCUCGUCUCUCUCUCUCUCUCUCUCUCUCUCUUCUUUCUCUCUGUAUUCCCCUUUCUGCUGCUCCCUCUCUGUCUCUUUCACUUCGCCUGUUACUUUUUCUCGCGAUACCUUCCUGCGCCGUGGUUACCUCCGAAAAUUGGUAAAUGAGCCGUUGAUAUUCGCUGAACGUUCCCGCCGUCUGAACCCAUCUUCCUGCACCCGGUUUACGCGUUUAACGCGCGACAACCUUUUUGGGCGGAUGUAUUACGGCGUACCCAGUACUCGACGGGGCACCUGAUCUCCCCCGGUGCAAUCCACUUCGCCCCUUUUUCUGCAUGCCACUCUUCUUCGCGCAUCCUCUUCCUGGAGCUUUUUCCUAGAGGGCUGAUUAAUGAACGUGACAGGUUUCGGCGCUUCGGCUGAUGUCGCAGCUCGAGAGUGGAAGCGAUGUGUCACGCGCAGUGACAGGCCUGGCAGGCGGCUCACGGAAAGAACCAUCCGAUAUCCUCUCGAAGUCAACGAAGAAUUCCUGGAGUUGCUUGGAAGGAUUCUAAGGAUGAUCUAAAGGAGAGAACAUUACCAUUAUACGAAUUGCAGUUCAUAAAAUGGACGUUUACGUACGGAUGGAUCCCGCGCCGCCACGGAGGAGGAUAAAGCAGCAUGCAAAGAGAAGCGAGAAGCGGAAGAAACGGAGAAAAAGAAUAAGCACGUCGUGCGGUAUAGCCGGUAUAUCUUUAUAUGGUUUAGUUGUCGAGCGUAAGGAAGACGUCGAGAAGCAACAAGAAGCGUGGAAACCUUUCUCGCGGUAACAGUUAGUCCAUUGUUAGCACCGCGGAGGUACAUGUUAACACCUCGAACAUCGUCUAUUCGUUAACAAUAUUCCAACAGACUCCGCGCAGAUAUCCGGCGGGAUCAGAAAACGUUGAUGAUUAUUCAACAUUAUGUUACAAGAUGCAAGUGAAGGCAGAAAUAUUAUAUUAUAUUAAAUAUAAUUUACAUUACAGUAUUAUAUUAUAUUAAGUAUAAUUUACAUCAAAUGAACAUUCUGUAAUGAUUUACAUGUUUCAAGUGAUGAAGAAUAAAUGCUGGAAAUUCUUUAGAUAAA